GGAUAACCUGCCCUUUGGACCGGUAUAACCCCGGGAAACUGGGGAUAAUUCCGGAUAACGCAUAUGUGCUGGAAUGCUUUAUGCGUCAAAUGGAUUCGUCCGCCCAAGGAUGGGUCUGCGGCCUAUCAGGUAGUAGUGGGUGUAAUGUACCUACUAGCCAGCGACGGGUACGGGUUGUGAGAGCAAGAGCCCGGAGAUGGAUUCUGAGACAUGAAUCCAGGCCCUACGGGGCGCAGCAGGCGCGAAAACUUUACAAUGCGGGAAACCGUGAUAAGGGGACACCGAGUGUCAGCAUCAUAUGCUGGCUGUCCAGGUGUGUAAAAUACACCUGUUAGCAAGGGCCGGGCAAGACCGGUGCCAGCCGCCGCGGUAACACCGGCGGCCCGAGUGGUGAUCGUGAUUAUUGGGUCUAAAGGGUCCGUAGCCGGUUUGGUCAGUCCUCCGGGAAAUCUGAUAGCUCAACUAUUAGGCUAUCGGGGGAUACUGCCAGACUUGGAACCGGGAGAGGUAAGAGGUACUACAGGGGUAGGAGUGAAAUCUUGUAAUCCCUGUGGGACCACCUGUGGCGAAGGCGUCUUACCAGAACGGGUUCGACGGUGAGGGACGAAAGCUGGGGGCACGAACCGGAUUAGAUACCCGGGUAGUCCCAGCCGUAAACGAUGCUCGCUAGGUGUCAGGCAUGGCGCGACCGUGUCUGGUGCCGCAGGGAAGCCGUGAAGCGAGCCACCUGGGAAGUACGGCCGCAAGGCUGAAACUUAA
Molecule: ribosomal RNA, 759 nt
Filed under: uncultured Methanosarcina sp.
Lineage: Archaea; Methanobacteriati; Methanobacteriota; Methanomicrobia; Methanosarcinales; Methanosarcinaceae
Description: bacterial SSU rRNA
Rfam family: Archaeal small subunit ribosomal RNA
Source: RNAcentral